ACACACACACUGACACGCACGAACACACACACACACUCGCUCGUGUAGACACGUACGAAGGCGCUAGCACACAUAGAUCAGGUAGUAGACGACGCGGCGCGGCGGACUGACAUCGGCCUGCUAGCUCCAGCUUACGACGACGCCCUGGUGCCGGUGCCGGUGCCGGCGCCCGCUCCGCCGGUGGCGCCGGUGUGGCCACCUCCUCCGGCGCGCGCGUCCUCCGCGCGGCUCUGGAUGGCGUGGCCGGCCUGCUGCGUCUUGUGCCCCGCGGCCGCGGCGGCAUCGGCCAUGCGCUGGCGCGCCUCCUCCACGUAGUCCGGGGUGCGCUGGAACGCCUGGCGCGCCGUGUUGGCGAGGACGGUGAGCGAGGAGAGGCCGCCCAGCCCCAGCGCGCCGGAGGUGAGGAACCCGGUGACGGCCAGGCCGAUGGUGAGCGCGGCCGGGACCAGCAUGGGGCUGAAGAGCAGGAACACGGGCGUGGCCACGGCCAGCCCCACCACGGUGCCCGCCAGCGCCAGCCCGGACAGCACCAGCAGCAGCCCGCCCAGCGGGAACAGCGUCGCCACCGUCAGCGCCUGCGACGCCGACGGCGCCUUCUCCUGGAACAUGCCCUUCAUCUGCUCGCCCAUCUGGCGCCCGUGCUGCUGCUGCCCGCCGUGGUGCCCGCCGCCGUACUGCCCGUGCUGCACCUGCACGUAGCCCCCGCGGUCCGCCAUUGCUCCUCCCUCGCUUCGCUGCGUCCGCCGGCGGUGAAGUGAGCCAAGAUCUGUCGAACUCGAGAGCUGGAGGGGACUGAACUCUGAAGUGAAGUGGGUUGAG
RNAcentral lists this long non-coding RNA (819 nucleotides) under Triticum aestivum (bread wheat). Its description in RNAcentral is "long non-coding RNA (TAES_LNC002724)". The record is from RNAcentral. Lineage: Eukaryota; Viridiplantae; Streptophyta; Magnoliopsida; Poales; Poaceae.